Molecule: transfer RNA, 66 nt
Filed under: Stenotrachelus aeneus
Lineage: Eukaryota; Metazoa; Arthropoda; Insecta; Coleoptera; Stenotrachelidae
Description: tRNA-Tyr
Source: RNAcentral
GGUUGAAUGGCCGAGAAUUAAGCAAUAAAUUGUAAAUUUAUUUAGGAAUUAAAUAUUCUUCAAUCA